Molecule: ribosomal RNA, 200 nt
Filed under: uncultured bacterium
Lineage: Bacteria
Description: partial 16S ribosomal RNA
Rfam family: Bacterial small subunit ribosomal RNA
Source: RNAcentral
GAUGAACGCUAGCGGCAGGCUUAAUACAUGCAAGGCGAGGGGGCAGCAAUGUCACCGUCGUACGGGUGCGUAACGCGUAUGCAACCUACCUUCAACUGGGGGAUAGCCCGGGGGAAACCCGGAUUAAUACCGCAUAACACAAUGAGGUCUCAUGGUUUUAUUGUUAAAGAUUUAUUGGUUGAAGAUGGGCAUGCGUACGA